CCUACGGGGGGCAGCAGUGGGGAAUAUUGCACAAUGGGGGAAACCCUGAUGCAGCGACGCCGCGUGAGUGAAGAAGGAUUUCGGUAUGUAAAGCUCUAUCAGCAGGGAAGAAAAUGACGGUACCUGAGUAGGAUGCCCCGGCUAACUACGUGCCAGCAGCCGCGGUAAUACGUAGGGGGCAAGCGUUAUCCGGAUUUACUGGGUGUAAAGGGAGCGUAGACGGGAGUGCAAGUCUGAAGUGAAAGGCGGGGGCUCAACCCCCGGACUGCACUGGAAACUGUACGGCUGGAGUGCCGGAGAGGUCAGUGGAAUUCCUGGUGUAGCGGUGAAAUGCGUAGAUAUUAGGAGGAACACCAGUGGCGAAGGCGGAUUACUGGACUGUAACUGACGUUGAGGCUCGAAAGCGUGGGGAGCAAACAGGAUUAGAUACCCGAGUAGUC
RNAcentral lists this ribosomal RNA (440 nucleotides) under uncultured bacterium. Its description in RNAcentral is "partial 16S ribosomal RNA". It matches the Rfam family "Bacterial small subunit ribosomal RNA", at positions 338 to 795 of the family's 1533-position model. The record is from RNAcentral.